RNAcentral lists this ribosomal RNA (467 nucleotides) under uncultured bacterium. Its description in RNAcentral is "partial 16S ribosomal RNA". It matches the Rfam family "Bacterial small subunit ribosomal RNA", at positions 28 to 507 of the family's 1533-position model. The record is from RNAcentral.
GACGAACGCUGGCGGCGUGCUUAACACAAGCAAGUCGAACGGAAAGGCCUCUUUCGGGGGGUACUCGAGUGGCGAACGGGUGAGUAACACGUGAGUAACCUGCCCUUGACUUUGGGAUAACUUCAGGAAACUGGGGCUAAUACCGGAUAGGAGCUCCUGCUGCAUGGUGGGGGUUGGAAAGUUUCGGCGGUUGGGGAUGGACUCGCGGCUUAUCAGCUUGUUGGUGGGGUAGUGGCUUACCAAGGCUUUGACGGGUAGCCGGCCUGAGAGGGUGACCGGCCACAUUGGGACUGAGAUACGGCCCAGACUCCUACGGGAGGCAGCAGUGGGGAAUAUUGCACAAUGGGUGGAAGCCUGAUGCAGCAACGCCGUGUGCGGGAUGACGGCCUUCGGGUUGUAAACCGCUUUCGCUCAUGACGAAGCUUUGUGUGACGGUAGUGGGUAAAGAAGCACCGGCUAACUACGUG